Long non-coding RNA from Vespa velutina, 3456 nucleotides. RefSeq lists it as uncharacterized. The record is from RefSeq and is a predicted model, not a curated record. The transcript has 3 exons. NCBI's taxonomy places the organism in Eukaryota, Metazoa, Arthropoda, Insecta, Hymenoptera, Vespidae.
UUAUUAAAGUCACAAUCGAUAUUAAUCGUUUCCUAUUUUAUCAGCCUUCGGUUUGAUAAGUAAUCAAAUUUUUACUACUGGUAAUCGUGUAUAUUUCACGAUGAAAAAUUACACUCAUACAUUGACAGGUUUAUGAUAGAUGGAAUUAUUAUUUGUGAAAGUAAAUGCCUUUUAUAAAAGUUCUAAAUUAAAUGUAAAUACCCAAGAAACUUUUAAUAUGCUAUUAUAUAAAAAAAAUUCACGAACGUUUAACGAAUAUUUACGAAGAUCCACAUUACUCAUAUAAAUAGAAACAAAUAAUACCAUUGAUGAUAUCCAUGACUCAGUAUAUCCAAAAUCACUAGGAUCACUGUAUUGCUUGGUUCUUUACGGACCGCGAAGUGAAGUGACGCACGCGCAACCAUGUGUGUAUAUAUAAGAUAAUAUAAUUGAAACAAAAUAAGCAUUGCGCUAUUUUGCGAAUAAGGUAGGCUCGCGAUUCUCUCAUACGGUACAGAAACCAUAAAGAUAAGGCGUAUUUUCAAAUCUUUAUCAAGUUCCACGAGAACGAGUUUGAACGAGUAAAGUCCCCAAGUCGGCACGUGUUCAUCUGUCAUAAAACUAUUCUUCUUACACGUUUGCAGAAUGACUGGCGAAAUGAUAGCGAGAGCAAAAAUAAUGCAGUUGCUUUCGAAAUCGCAACGCGAAAGAGGAGAGUCGAGCAUAUAAUACUCGAAGAAAAUCAAUUAGUAUUUUUGCAAUUGCAGAGAACGAAAAGACAGAGAACGCGCGAGAUUGGUGACAUGUAUGUCAUUUCAACGAGAUACGAGAUUCAACACGUGUCACAUAACUAAUCCUCAAACGCUCCAGCUCGAUCUUUUCUAAGAGCAUGCACAUUUCAUGGCAAAUAGCGUUCAAGGUGAAACCGAGUAGAUAUGAUAUCAGGCUUUUUAUUUAAUCAAUGCGUACAUAUGCAUGUGCGAAUACUCUUCCAAUUGUUUUAUUUAACGUAUUCAAAUAUUCUUAGUGAGCUAGCCGAUGUAUUUGAUAAUAAAUUGACUUGAAUAUUAUGAUUUGUUUCCUUUUACAUUCUUUUAUAAAAUUUCAAAAAAAUAUCGAUCUAAUGAAAUCACGGGAAGACUUUAAUCAUUGACAAAAGGUCGUCGUAGUUUAUUACGUAAGAGUUCCGUGAGUGUCGAGCAAGUUCCGCGCGCGAGAUAUUACUGAUAUCAGUGCGUAUCAGUGAAAACGUGCUCUUAUCGUUAGUGGUAAAACGAGUCGUCUCAGAUGGACAUUAUUUCUCUCAUCUCUUUGAGCCGCUAUUUCAGUCGAGGUAACUCAAACCGGUCAAUGAUCCUCCUUGGUAUGAACGGAAUAGUUAAUUGACUAGCGCAGAUAACUGGUAUAUUUGAUGACUCGUUUAAAUUGUAAAUAAUAGCAUGACUUGAAAAAAAGAAGGAAGUUGCUUUACAUCCGAAUGGUUGGCAGGGUUAUAGCAGUUCGCACUUUUACCGCUUUGUUUCUUGUUAUUUAUUUCAAAAUUCUUUUCUCAGAUAUUUUAGUUUGAUUAGAUUCUUCCGAGAUGCAAUGUCAAUAUGAUUUGUGUAAAAAAAUUGUAAAGUAAUAUACUUUAAGAAAACUGCAGUUUCAUGGAUCAUAUACGUACUUACAUGCGUAAGAUAUAAAUAAAAUUUCCUCGUAUAUAUUAAAGCAUCGACCAGAGAAAAAAUUAGGAAUUAUCACGUCGUAACGUUUGUACUCUUAUUUUUGAUUUUAGAUGUUCCGACUUAAUAUUAUUCGAUUAGCACUAAUACUUAUUUAGAGUUUUAUGUUACUUUUUUUAUGAUUAUUCAUCAAAAAUUUCAUUAGUAUUUUGUUUGUUAUUAUUUCAAAAAAGCAAGAUUCUUUUAUUCAUGUUGAAUCUUAUGAUCAUAUAAGAAAUCUUCGAAGUCCGGUUAUUUUCUACGCUUCUAUACCAUUCUAUACCGUUAUAGAAAUAGCUCACGCAUUCAUGACGUUAAUGUAAACUAAUAGUCACCACCUCGACAUAUAUAGCUGUAACGCUUUAUCGGUAAAAUAAUCCGACUUGCUCAUACAACAUCCUAAAUAUGCUAGGUAUGUUAGCGAAUUACCUCAAAUAUCAUGAUCAUUUAGAAAUUGUUCACUAAGAUAACUAAAAUGGAAAAUAUACAAGUAAUAAUUAAAUUGUUUAUGAAUAAUAAAACAAUAGAAAGUAUUUAUUCAGGAGUAUAAUAUAAAUAUAUAGUAAAUAAUUGAAGACUAAAUUAAACUUUACAGUUCUACUACAUUUUGACUAACUUAAACAAUAAUAUAUACGUUGUAAGAUUCUUAAAUCUUAAAACAAUCAAUAAUGGUUAAAAAAAAAUCAUUUAUAGCCUUGUUCAUCACAUAUAUGUCCAUAUUUUGUAUUUAAUAAUAAUUUCAAAAUCGUUAGUUCCAACAGGAAUAAAUUUUCUUAUGAACUCGUAUGACGACGAAUUCUGUGUACUGGUCCAGUUGAUGGUUCGAGGGAGAGAGUCACGACUUAGCUCGGAACUCGCUCAAGCCUUAGGCUACCACGAAUGUUUAUGUUUCAAAUUUCGCAGCAAUAAGCAUUCGUUGGAACCUAACAGCAAGCGUUUCAAAGUACUUUGGGUAAAAUAAAAUAUUAAUUUGCUUUAAUAUUUACAGGGACAGUUAAAAUGAUAUAAGGAAUAUGUACGAAAUUUCCAGUGUAAUUUAGCGAAUAGGAAAUAUUAGAAAACAAACAGUUUGACGAACACAUCGUACAAAAACCACAUAUUUCCAUUUAUAUUUGUAAAAAGCUAAAAUAAACGCAUCAUUGUUAUAUAAUCGUCAGAUUAUUGAUCAACAUAUUUUCCUGAUUAAUAUGUUGAUAAAAAAAAUGUAUCGCUUAAUAACAAUGUAUAUUUAUAAUAGCUUGUCGAAAUUAGAUGUAAUGAGUAUUUCUUUCAUGAAAUCAAAGAAAAAAGAACAAAGAUAUACUCAUAUUUCGCUGAAGACAUUGAAUUGGUUUCAAUUAAAAAACUUACGAGACGUCCCACUCGAUGUUUCAUAUUCUCAAGAAGAUCCGUUCGUUCACAUUACGACUCACGUGUCGAACGAUAGAAACGUGACAUCGUGAGAAGCGAGAGCGCUUAGACUCGUACGCAAAUAGCUUUUACGGAAAUAGAAAAGUAAUUUUCAAAAUGGUAUGAUCUGAUGGUACGAUUGAUUCUCAUAAUAUUUCAUAUUAUCCAUGUAUCUACGUUUCUUCGUCUCUUUUGAGAUAUAAUAAUUAGAUGUUUAUAAAUACUAAACGACAAAUGAGAAAGGAAAUCGAUUAACUUACUUACUUGGAAACUCCUAAUUACAAAUUAGACUAGUAAAUGAUUUGAUAAUAAUUUUCUCGAAAAAUCAAUCAAUUUUCUAUUUACUGUAACUCUCUUUUAAAAUUAAGCAUCCGAUUAUGUUAAA